Molecule: ribosomal RNA, 752 nt
Filed under: Escherichia coli
Lineage: Bacteria; Pseudomonadati; Pseudomonadota; Gammaproteobacteria; Enterobacterales; Enterobacteriaceae
Description: partial 23S ribosomal RNA
Rfam family: Bacterial large subunit ribosomal RNA
Source: RNAcentral
GAAUAUGGGGGGACCAUCCUCCAAGGCUAAAUACUCCUGACUGACCGAUAGUGAACCAGUACCGUGAGGGAAAGGCGAAAAGAACCCCGGCGAGGGGAGUGAAAAAGAACCUGAAACCGUGUACGUACAAGCAGUGGGAGCACAGAGCAAUCUGUGUGACUGCGUACCUUUUGUAUAAUGGGUCAGCGACUUAUAUUCUGUAGCAAGGUUAACCGAAUAGGGGAGCCGAAGGGAAACCGAGUCUUAACUGGGCGUUAAGUUGCAGGGUAUAGACCCGAAACCCGGUGAUCUAGCCAUGGGCAGGUUGAAGGUUGGGUAACACUAACUGGAGGACCGAACCGACUAAUGUUGAAAAAUUAGCGGAUGACUUGUGGCUGGGGGUGAAAGGCCAAUCAAACCGGGAGAUAGCUGGUUCUCCCCGAAAGCUAUUUAGGUAGCGCCUCGUGAAUUCAUCUCCGGGGGUAGAGCACUGUUUCGGCAAGGGGGUCAUCCCGACUUACCAACCCGAUGCAAACUGCGAAUACCGGAGAAUGUUAUCACGGGAGACACACGGCGGGUGCUAACGUCCGUCGUGAAGAGGGAAACAACCCAGACCGCCAGCUAAGGUCCCAAAGUCAUGGUUAAGUGGGAAACGAUGUGGGAAGGCCCAGACAGCCAGGAUGUUGGCUUAGAAGCAGCCAUCAUUUAAAGAAAGCGUAAUAGCUCACUGGUCGAGUCGGCCUGCGCGGAAGAUGUAACGGGGCUAAACCAUG